RNAcentral lists this transfer RNA (85 nucleotides) under Felis catus (domestic cat). It matches the Rfam family "tRNA". Rfam says of the family: Transfer RNA (tRNA) molecules are approximately 80 nucleotides in length. Their secondary structure includes four short double-helical elements and three loops (D, anti-codon, and T loops). Further hydrogen bonds mediate the characteristic L-shaped molecular structure. tRNAs have two regions of fundamental functional importance: the anti-codon, which is responsible for specific mRNA codon recognition, and the 3' end, to which the tRNAs corresponding amino acid is attached (by aminoacyl-tRNA synthetases). tRNAs cope with the degeneracy of the genetic code in two manners: having more than one tRNA (with a specific anti-codon) for a particular amino acid; and 'wobble' base-pairing, i.e. permitting non-standard base-pairing at the 3rd anti-codon position. The record is from Rfam by way of RNAcentral. Lineage: Eukaryota; Metazoa; Chordata; Mammalia; Carnivora; Felidae.
GCCUGAGUGGCUCAGUCAGUUGAGUGUCUGACUUCGGCUCAGGUUAUGAUCUCACAGUUCACGGGUUCGAGCCCCGCGUCGGGCU